GCUCAGUCCUCCUCCUGCAGGCCUGCUCUGGCUCCCUCCCCCACCAGCCAGGUCUCUCCAACCCCCUCCACUCCCUCCCCAACUCCUGCAGAGACUUUGAAGCCAGGACACUCAUGGAGCGAAAUGUCACCCGCAGCAGCAGCAGCUGCCGAGGCAGAGGGGGUCUCUGCUCCAGGAGGCCCAGCGGCUGCUCUAGUGUCACACGUCGCCUUGGCUGAGGGAGUGUAGGGGCCCUGGGCGUUCACUGACCUCCUUGAUCCCCUGCUAACUGGCCUCUACAUUUCUUCUUUGCCAGCCUCUGCCUCUGCUCCGAUGUGCAGAGGCGCAGUGUACCCUGGUUUAGGCGCAGCCCUGCCUCUCCUCUCUGCAUCUGCACUCACCGCAGAUGACUCAAUGCAUUCCUUCAUGCUGAUGGCUCCCCCUGCCUCAUCCCAGCCCCCUCCCUGACCUCAGACCCACCUGAGGACCCUCCUCCCUCCUCGGUCCAUCACACCAGUCUCUUGGUUGUUUCUCACCUCACUUGGCCAAAGCUGGACUCUGGAUCAUCUUCCCUCAAAACCUCCAGCCCCCAAAUCCACCACCAUCCAUCCAACUGCCCCAGCUCAAAUAACUCCUUCAUUCCUUGCUUCCAGUAUUCCCACAUUUAAUCCUUCCUCAAGAGCCAUCAGAUCAACUUUUUUUUUAUUAAACUUUUUAUUGGAGUAUAGUUGAUUUACAAUGUUGUGUUAGUUUCUGCUGUACAGAAAAGUAAGUCAGUUAUACAUACACAUAUGUCCACUCUUUUUAAGGUUUUAUUCCCAUAUAGGUCAUUACAGAGUCCUGAAUAGAGUUCCCUGUGCUAUUCACAGAUCAACUUUCGAAUUAGGUUGUCAAACUGGUCACUGCUCUCCAUCCUGUUGGUAACAUCUGGGUCCUGGCCCUGCCUCAUCUCAGUUUGCCUGGACCAAUGCAGCUGUCUGGUCUCCCCUGACCUGCACACCACGACCCCCACCCCGCCAUUCUCCUCAAGUCAGCCAGUGGGAUCUGUUAAAUAAAUCACAUCACAACAUGGAUGAACCUUGAGGACGUUAUGCUACGUGAAAUAAGCCAGUCACAAAAUGACAGAUCCCAACAUGUGCCCAGCACUGUGCAGAGAAACACAGCAGUGAAACCAGACAAAAUCCUGCCCUCACGGAGCUGCUGUUCUAAUCAGGGAGGGGUGAACAAGAGCAAACAAACUGUGUUAAGUGCUGUGAAAGACAACGAACGCAAGGAGCUCUCUGGCUACAGCUGGAGGAUGGACUGAAGGCGAAGAUGCCCAGUGUGGAGGCUGUGGGGCUGAAGAAAAACACUGGAUACAAAUAGCGAAUCAUGUUGUACACCUGAAACUAAUGUAAUGUUAUAUGUCAACUACAUCUCAAUUAAGAAAAAGAAAGA
Molecule: long non-coding RNA, 1416 nt
Organism: Hippopotamus amphibius kiboko
Lineage: Eukaryota; Metazoa; Chordata; Mammalia; Artiodactyla; Hippopotamidae
Exons: 3
Source: RefSeq, a predicted model, not a curated record